RNAcentral lists this ribosomal RNA (235 nucleotides) under uncultured bacterium. RNAcentral's name for it is "partial 16S ribosomal RNA". It matches the Rfam family "Bacterial small subunit ribosomal RNA", at positions 96 to 334 of the family's 1533-position model. The record is from RNAcentral.
UGGCGGACGGGUGAGUAAUGUCUGGGAAACUGCCUGAUGGAGGGGGAUAACUACUGGAAACGGUAGCUAAUACCGCAUAACGUCGCAAGACCAAAGAGGGGGACCUUAGGGCCUCUUGCCAUCGGAUGUGCCCAGAUGGGAUUAGCUAGUAGGUGGGGUAAAGGCUCACCUAGGCGACGAUCCCUAGCUGGUCUGAGGGGAUGACCAGCCACACUGGAACUGAGACACGGUCCAG